CCUACGGGUGGCAGCAGUGGGGGAUAUUGGACAAUGGAGGGAACUCUGAACCAGCGACGCCGCGUGAGUGAAGAAGUAUUUCGGUAUGUAAAGCUCUGUCAGCAGGGAAGAAAACAAUGACGGUACCUGACCAAUAAGCCCCGGCUAACUACGUGCCAGCAGCCGCGGUAAUACGUAGGGGGCGAGCGUUAUCCGGAAUUAGUGGGUGUAAGGGGAGCGUAGACGGUUAAGUAAGUCUGGAGUGAAAGGCCGGGGCCCAACCCCGGGACUGCAGUGGAAACUAUUGAACUUGAGUGCAGGGGAGGUAAGCGGAAUUCCUAGUGUAGCGGUGAAAUGCGUAGAUAUUAGGAGGAACACCAGUGGCGAAGGCGGCUUACUGGACUGUAACUGACGUUGAGGCUCGAAAGCGUGGGGAGCAAACAGGAUUAGAUACCCGGGUAGUC
This 443-nucleotide ribosomal RNA is filed under the name uncultured bacterium. RNAcentral's name for it is "partial 16S ribosomal RNA". It matches the Rfam family "Bacterial small subunit ribosomal RNA", at positions 338 to 795 of the family's 1533-position model. The record is from RNAcentral.